Long non-coding RNA from Lepidothrix coronata (blue-crowned manakin), 909 nucleotides. RefSeq lists it as uncharacterized. The transcript is spliced from 3 exons. The record is from RefSeq and is a predicted model, not a curated record. Lineage: Eukaryota; Metazoa; Chordata; Aves; Passeriformes; Pipridae.
UAUGAAGGCUGAAGCAUAACCAGCAUUUAAAAGUAGUACAGACUUAAGUGAUGAAUGCAAAGUUUGAUAGAACAAUUGUUUUUAGCAUUGCCAGUGUGUCAACUAUUUAAUGCCAUGUGUACAUUGCAGUAUUAAAUCCAUGGCAAGAAUCUGCAAAACAUGACUUCUUGGGAGAUGAUGGCAAAAAACCAACUUAUUUUCAGGGAGCCAGGUUCUCAACCCUGACUUUCAGGAGUGAACAUCUGAGCUUUGCUGAAAGCUAUGGGAGCUAAGAGGUAGCAUAUGCUGUACUGAACCAAACCGGCUGUGAGGAAACUAAAACAUGCAGCUUAGAGAGUUCUACCUACUUUCCUUGGCCUAAGAAGGUGAAGACUACUGCCAAUGGUGUAGCAGCCGGGCAUUUCCGCUCUGCAGGAGUAGUUUUUCCCUUGGAAGCCAGCUGGGGAGUGAAAAAAAGAUGACCCUUCUGUGAAAUACCACAAUAGUACUAUAUAAGCCCCAAAGGCAACAGGAAAAAAUACAGAAAACUAAAACAUGCCAGAAGGUAACCACAGAAAAGCAUGCCCAGCAGCAAAACCAGACAACCGUGAAAGAUGCCUGAGAGAUCUUGCCCGCUGAAAACUUCUAAAAGACACUUGGAAAAAAUGAUAUUUUUAAGCAUAGUAAAAAGAUAACUCAUAAAAAAUAAUUUCUGAAUUUUCCAUUCCAUUAUUCUGUGUACAGGAGGGAAAAAACCUCAUUUGGCAAUUAUUGUGAAAUGAAGGGCAGGCUCUGAAGGAACUACAUGUGACCCCACUUGUCCCUCUUGCUACGGUUUCUGCCAUUACUCCUUCCCAACUUUGUACCUGCAGCACAGACACUGGGUGGCUAAAAAAUACUUCUAAGAUCAUUGAGUCCAACUGUAAAUCU